Brienomyrus brachyistius is the source of this 161-nucleotide small nuclear RNA. RefSeq annotates it as U1 spliceosomal RNA. The record is from RefSeq and is a predicted model, not a curated record. The transcript has a single exon. Lineage: Eukaryota; Metazoa; Chordata; Actinopteri; Osteoglossiformes; Mormyridae.
AUACUUACUUGGCAUCAGAGACCCCGAUCACGCAGAUGGGACGCCCAGGGCGUGGUUCAGCCAUUGUGCCACAGCUGUGCUGCUCCCAGUGAACUUCCUAGAUGCUGGGAUUUUGUCGGAUUCAUUUCUGGUAGCGGGGGGACUGUGUUCACGUUCUUCCA